This is a long non-coding RNA of Chelonia mydas (Green sea turtle), 5076 nucleotides long. RefSeq lists it as uncharacterized. The record is from RefSeq and is a predicted model, not a curated record. The transcript is spliced from 7 exons. NCBI's taxonomy places the organism in Eukaryota, Metazoa, Chordata, Testudines, Cheloniidae.
CCGAGCGUGGCGAGGGCGGAGCCGGGGAGUGCACGGAGGCCACCACCUGCAUGUAUCUGCUGCAGCCUGCAGGAGCCGCAGGGGCUGAGGGGGGGGAGUGGAAAGCACCGGGCCGAAGCCGGGGCAGGGGUCGCAGCUGCUCCCCAUUAGCGGUGCCGUGGCCUUUGCAGGGCUGCUGCCCCCCCUGUGCCGCUGCGGCUCCUCCAUGGCUGGGGCUCGCCACCCCCGCAAGCGGACGCUCUGGCUCUCUGUUGCCUCCGGAAGGCGGCUUCUCCCUGCCGAGCCAGGGCACCACUUUUUGGCGCCCCCAACCACUUGGUGCUCUAGGCGACCGCCUAAUUCGCCUAAUGGUUGCAGCGGCCCUGGCAAUGUUGCAUGGCAAGGCUUGUGGCUUUCCUUUCUCCCAGCCUCCUGCUCCCAGCGGCAGAGCUGAAGCGGCGGGCAGGGAGCGCGAGGGCAGACAGGCCUUGGGGCGCCUGCCGCCGCUUCGGCCAGCUGGCCUCCCACACCUGCUGCCAAGGGGGCAAGAGCACCGGCUGGUAAGAAAAACAAAGACGCCACGGGGCCGGGCGCCCAAAGCCCUCGCCCUGGGCUGCGGCGGGCGAGGCGGCUACAGCCUGGGAGACCUUUGCGGAAGCAAGCGAGGACAAGGUGGCAAAAGCCUCUGCCAAAGGGAGACCUGCAGCACCCAGGCCCAUCCCUGUUUAGCUUCUGAGAACAAACAAGGUCAGGUGUGUUCAGGGUAUUAUAACUCUAGAUGCUAGUGUUAGCUGCUUUGCCUGCCUUUAAGCGAGCCCACAGAUGCUCCCUGCCUGCUCCAUACUGCUGAUUCCCGCGCCCCCCCCCAGACCCACAACGCGCUCACGCACGCACCACCAGCCUCACACCCCAGCCUCGCCACACCAAGGCUCACGCCCCGCAACACCAUCCGCAGCCCCCGACCCCUGGUCCGCACGCACCGCACCUAAGCCUUCUCCCCACCCCCCCUCACAAAUACACCGCCCCCCCCCCCGGCUACUCCCUCACCACGCACUCUCUCCUGAGACGGGACCCUCACAAGGCCACCACACCCACCCCCGACACAAAACCCCACACACCACCACCCCCAGACGCAACGCACUGCCCAGGACGGGGCUGCCCCCUGCACACCUGCUGCUGUGCCUCACCUGUACGCACCCCCCAGGCCACUGUGGAAGUGACCUAAGCCCCAAAAAGGGGAUAAGACUCAGUAUUAAAAGCCCAAGAAAGGGGCUGGAACUUAAACAUGACAUCAGAGAACCACUGAGGACAAAGAACCUCCAGGGAGAAAGCCCUGGGGACAGUGCUUAAAACAGAGCAGUGAGAGACUUAAAGCUAGCCCAGAAGUGGCUGAGAACUAAGCCCAGAAACACAACUGCAGACACCAACCAGGGCAUGGUGGUAGUCCUUGUUGACCUUUGUUCCCUUGGAAGGGGUUCAUCCAUUUUAGACUGCCCAUGACUCAGCCAGAGGCUGAGCCACUGAAGACUUAUCUGACAAGUGCAACAGCUGGCAUGCGAGCAGAGAGUGCAGGUUUGCACCCAGCUGACAGGAGGCGCUCAAAAGAGGAAACUCACAGGAAUUUUGUAUACCAAGAAUACAUGACACAGAAGCCUGGUAACAUAGCACAGAAAGAAUGGCCUGUGAAAGCCCAUGAUGAAGGGGCAAUUUACUGGUGUUCAAACCAAUCUCCAGCUCAGAGGAGCUACCCCCUGAAUCAUGCUCCCACCAUCCUCUGACAAACAAAAAGAAAAGCUCUGUGAUGAACACUGCAACAUCCUGGAUGGCAGGGUGAACAACAGCUGUAAUGCUCAAAUCAUUCUCUCUGACACCAUAGGAAAAGUGAUCUUUUCUCUGCUCUGCCCGGUCUCAUGAUGCUGAGGCUUCUCUCGGACGUCUGCCCAUCACACAUUUAACCAGUUCACUACCAGUGGGGUGUGCUUCGCUUAUUGGUGGUUUGUUGCAAGGGAACAUAUUUGGAAGCACUUAUUCAUCUUUCUGGAGGUGCAUCUAUCUGACCUACAUCAUCAUAUUAGAGAAGCAUAUCACAAACAUAAAUACAUGUAUCUCCACAACCCCCUGUGAGGAGAACCGGAAUGCCCAGUAUAUCCAACAGAACUAGUGUUUGCUUUGGACAUAUCCCAGGAUGUCACACCCCAGUUACUUGAAAGAAUGAGAGAGCUUGCAAUAUCAGUAGUGAAUGCCACCAAAAUUAGAGACAGCAACUGCCCAGUGGGAGCUAGAGUCACUGUUCCAAUACUCGUUAUCUGAUUCGCUUCUCCGAGUUCUACAAGAAGAAUCAGCUCCUCAACAAACUUAAAAAUCUGGCUUAUGAGAGAUCCUCAAGUGAAUGGGAUAUUGCAGAGUGAUGUGAUUCAUUGCCAGGAAUGUUUUCAAGCAAACUCUCCAAGGUCCUAAUGUGAGAAAAGUAGCAGUGUUUUUCAGCAAUGACUGUCUGCAGAUGAAUUUUCUAUUAACACAGCAGUUCUGGAGUACACUGCAUUUGACAUUGUUUCAGUCGUUCUCGCUUUUAAUGAAGUUCCCCACAUCAGUUAUGCUUUCGCGACAAAUGUAGACCAGAUGACUUGUGAACGCCGCAGAUCCCGAUCACCACCGGCAUAUGUGGAUGCUGCUUUCAUUUUGGAUAGCUCACAGAAAAUGAGUGGUGCCAAAUUUGAGAAAGUGAAAGACUUCCUGGGUAGAGUACUUGAUAACUUUGACAUUUCCUCUGAGCCUGUGAUUUCUUCCACAGGUGAUAGGGUGACUCUGGUGAGCCAUGCUCCACCAGGUUUCAAACCCCACACAGGGAGGAGCCGUGUAAAGGCAGAGUUUGACUUUGUCACCUACAGCAGUAGACAGUUAAUGAAAAGACAUAUCCAAUGAUCUAUGUUCAACAGCUGAAUGGAGCAGCUGCUCUUGGCCAUGCCAUACAGAGGACAGUUGAUAAUAUUUUCUUAACUGCACACCACCCAAGAUAACACAAGGCUAUUAUUGUUAUAUCUGCUGGAGAAACAAGUCAGUGGGACAAAGAAACAUUAAAGAAUACGUAAGGAUAAGGCCUUUGUCAGCAGCCAUAUUGUAAGGCCUAAAGGCUAAGGCCUUCAUCUGCAGCCAGAUUAAAAGAGCAGCCGAGCAGCACCAUUAGCUGAGAAGCAGGAAGUCACAUCCUCACAUUCCAUCUAAAUUACAUUAAAAAAAUGUGAUAUCAGGCUGUUAAGAAGGAGACCCUGUCCUAAUAGCACCCACUAUCAUCAGAUAAAGAUACAGAUCUUAAGAUGGUUAAAGAAAACUUAGUCUGAUAGCAUCCUGUCUGUCAAGAUAUCACUUAUCUAUAGUUGUGGUUGUGAAAUCCUCAUCUCUUUAUUGUUUUGUCAUUAUGGUCCCCAGUUUGCUAUUGUUUAUCUGUAUGGUCUGUCAAGAUAUCACUUAUCUAUAGUUGUGGUUGUGAAAUCCUCAUCUCUUUAUUGUUUUGUCAUUAUGGUCCCCACUUCCCUAUUGUUUAUCUGUAUGGUCUCUGUCUGGUUCUUUAAUUGUUUCUGUCUGUUACAUAAUUAAUUUUGCUAGGUGUAAAUUAAUUAAGGUGGUGGGGUAGGAUUGGUUAAAGAAUUUUGUUACACUAUGUUAGGAUUGCUUAGUAAAAUUUUAGUAUAAUGAUUGUUUAAGGUACAGCUAAAAAGGACUCAAAUUUCAGUAUAUAAACUGGGGUCCAAAAGGAAGUUCUUUGAGAACCAACUCCAGGACACAGCCCCAAAGAUCAGCGCUGCCAGACCUCAGCACUCUGCCAAUGACACUGUGCAGAAACUGGAGCCCCCAAGAUGGACCUAAUCCUGACUGGCCAUCAAGAAAAGUUCAUCUGUCUGUCUUAUUGGGAGUGGUGCAAUCAACAAAUAUCCCCCAUUAGCACUCAGGAGAAAUUGUAACAGAAUCAGCUCUUAGGGCUUGGCUACACUUGUGAGUUAGAGCGCAUUAAAGCAGCUCCGGGCGCCCUAACUCAUGAUGUGUCCACACUGGCAAGUCACAUAGAGCACCCGGACUCCGCAGCUAGAGCACUUCUGGUGAUCCACCUCGGCCAGUGGAAUAACGCUUGAUGCGCCCCCGCUGGAGCGCCGGGGCGCCAGUGUGGACGCCCUGCUCUGUUAGUGCGCUGUGAUCGGCCUCCAGAAGUGUCCCACAGUGCCUGUUCUAGCCACUCUGGUCAUCACUUUUUGAACUCUACUGCCCUGCCCUCAGGUGACCAACCAUCAGACCCACUCUUUAAAUUCUCUGGGAAUUUUGAAAUUCCCCUUCCUGUUUGCUCAGCCGGCGUGGAGUGCUCUCAGCGAAUCUUUCCAGGUGACCAUGCCUCCAUGCACCAGGCGAUCCCCAGUAUGGAGCAAUGGCGAGGUGCUGGACCUUAUCAGUGUUUGGGGGGAGGAAGCUGUCCAGUCCCAGCUGCGCUCCAGCCGUAGGAAUUACGAUACCUUCGAGCAGAUAUCAAGGGACAUGAUGGAAAGGGGCCAUGACUGGGAUGCUGUGGAAUGAAGGAGCUGCGGAAUGCCUACUGCAAAGCCUGCGAGGCAAACAGCUGCUCCGGUGCUGCCCCCGCGACCUGCCGGUUCUACAAAGAGCUGGACGCGAUACUUGGGGGUGACCCCACCUCCACUCCUAGUACCACCAUGGAUACUUCAGAGCCGAGUUCAACAUGGUCAAGUUCAACAAGGCAGGAGGAGGAGGAGGAAAGCAGGAGCAAGGGUGCUGAGGAGGAAGAAACCCCAGAAUCCCUAGCUGCAUGCAGCCACCAGCUGCCUCCGACACCUGUAGCUUCACCACCGAGCCCUGAAAACUACGACCCUUACCCACUGCGCUCAACCCCCAUCACCAUGCAGUAGAGCCAUCCUGAAGUGCAGCACUCAUUGCACAGCACUCCAGACAGGAAGCCUGAGUAUGGUAACAGGACAUACGCAAACCUGUGAUUGAACCUUUCCCUGCCCCACCCCCUUGCCCUUUCUGUUUCCCAAGCAGUUGUGUUUCUUUUCAAUAAAUGAAUUUUAUUUUCAAUAAAUGGAUUUUUUGGCUUUG